Molecule: ribosomal RNA, 468 nt
Filed under: uncultured bacterium
Lineage: Bacteria
Description: partial 16S ribosomal RNA
Rfam family: Bacterial small subunit ribosomal RNA
Source: RNAcentral
GACGAACGCUGGCGGCGUGCUUAACACAUGCAAGUCGAACGGAAAGGCCCUGCUUUUGUGGGGUGCUCGAGUGGCGAACGGGUGAGUAACACGUGAGUAACCUGCCCUUGACUUUGGGAUAACUUCAGGAAACUGGGGCUAAUACCGGAUAGGAGCUCCUGCUGCAUGGUGGGGGUUGGAAAGUUUCGGCGGUUGGGGAUGGACUCGCGGCUUAUCAGCUUGUUGGUGGGGUAGUGGCUUACCAAGGCUUUGACGGGUAGCCGGCCUGAGAGGGUGACCGGGCACAUUGGGAUAGAGAUACGGCCCAGACUGCGACGGGAGGCAGCAGGGGGGAAUAUUGCACGAUGGGCGGAAGCCUGAUGCAGCAACGCCGCGUGCGGGAUGACGGCCUUCGGGUUGUAAACAGCGUUCGCCUGUGACGCAGCGUGAGUGACGGUAAUGGGUAAAGAAGCACCGGCUAACUACGUG